CAGGGGACAGGAAGGGCGAUAGGGGAAAGAGGCGGGCAGAGGGGCGCGGGAAUCGUGGGUGGGAGAGAGGGUAGGGAUCGAAGGCGCGCGGGAGGGAACGGAAGAGACGGGGCGGACUACACGUAAGCCACAGUCCAUUUCAAGGUGUGUUGGGUUCCACGUAAAAUUGUGGAAAAAAAUUUUUCGGUGGAAAAAAUAUUUUACGUCGUUUAUUUUGGUUUGUAGGAAAAAAAAAAAGUUUUCCAUGCCGAUUGUUUGGUUAAAAGGAAA
RNAcentral lists this long non-coding RNA (270 nucleotides) under Ananas comosus (pineapple). Its description in RNAcentral is "long non-coding RNA (ACOM_LNC017753)". The record is from RNAcentral. Lineage: Eukaryota; Viridiplantae; Streptophyta; Magnoliopsida; Poales; Bromeliaceae.